AGGGUUUGAUCAUGGCUCAGAUUGAACGCUGGCGGUAUGCUUAACACAUGCAAGUCGAACGGAAACGAAACUAGCUUGCUAGUAGGCGUCGAGUGGCGGACGGGUGAGUAACGCGUAGGAAUCUGCCUGAUAGUGGGGGAUAGCCCGAAGAAAUUCGGAUUAAUACCGCAUAAUCUAUUCGUAGUAAAGUGGGGGACUUUCGAGCCUCACGCUAUCAGAUGAGCCUGCGUAAGAUUAGCUUGUUGGUAGGGUAAAAGCCUACCAAGGCUACGAUCUUUAGCUGGUCUGAGAGGAUGAUCAGCCACAUCGGGACUGAGACACGGCCCGAACUCCUACGGGAGGCAGCAGUGGGGAAUAUUGGACAAUGGGGGCAACCCUGAUCCAGCAAUACCGCGUGUGUGAAGAAGGCCUGAGGGUUGUAAAGCACUUUCAAUUGUGAAGAAAAGUUAACGGUUAAUAACCGUUGACCUUGACGUUAACUUUAUAAGAAGCACCGGCUAACUCCGUGCCAGCAGCCGCGGUAAUACGGAGGGUGCAAGCGUUAAUCGGAAUUACUGGGCGUAAAGCGUGCGUAGGCGGUUUAUUAA
This 587-nucleotide ribosomal RNA is filed under the name uncultured bacterium. RNAcentral's name for it is "bacterial SSU rRNA". It matches the Rfam family "Bacterial small subunit ribosomal RNA", at positions 8 to 586 of the family's 1533-position model. The record is from RNAcentral.